This 995-nucleotide ribosomal RNA is filed under the name uncultured bacterium. Its description in RNAcentral is "bacterial SSU rRNA". It matches the Rfam family "Bacterial small subunit ribosomal RNA", at positions 8 to 1033 of the family's 1533-position model. The record is from RNAcentral.
AGAGUUUGAUCCUGGCUCAGAAUCAACGCUGGCGGCGUGCCUAACACAUGCAAGUCGAACGAGAAAGGGUAGCAAUACCUGAGUAAAGUGGCGCACGGGUGAGUAACACGUGGCUAACCUACCCUGAAGUGGGGAAUAACUGAGGGAAACCUUAGCUAAUACCGCAUAACACCUACGGGUCAAAGGAGCAAUUCGCUUCAGGAGGGGGUCGCGGCCGAUUAGUUAGUUGGCGGGGUAAUGGCCCACCAAGACGAUGAUCGGUAUCCGGCCUGAGAGGGCGCACGGACACACUGGAACUGAAACACGGUCCAGACUCCUACGGGAGGCAGCAGUGGGGAAUUUUGCGCAAUGGGGGAAACCCUGACGCAGCAACGCCGCGUGGAGGAUGAAGUCCUUCGGGACGUAAACUCCUUUCGAUCGGGACGAUUAUGACGGUACCGGAAGAAGAAGCCCCGGCUAACUUCGUGCCAGCAGCCGCGGUAAUACGAGGGGGGCGAGCGUUGUUCGGAAUUAUUGGGCGUAAAGGGUGCGUAGGCGGUUUGGUAAGUCUUAUGUGAAAUCUACAGGCUCAACUUGUAGUCUGCAUGAGAAACUGCCGGGCUUGAGUAUGGGAGAGGUGAGUGGAAUUCCUGGUGUAGCGGUGAAAUGCGUAGAUAUCAGGAGGAACACCUGUGGCGAAAGCGGCUCACUGGACCAUAACUGACGCUGAUGCACGAAAGCUAGGGGAGCAAACAGGAUUAGAUACCCUAGUAGUCCUAGCCCUAAACGAUGACUGCUUGGUGUGACGGGUACCCAAUCCCGCCGUGCCGUAGCUAACGCGUUAAGCAGUCCGCCUGGGGAGUACGGUCGCAAGGCUGAAACUCAAAGGAAUUGACGGGGGCCCGCACAAGCGGUGGAGCAUGUGGUUUAAUUCGACGCAACGCGAAGAACCUUACCUGGGCUCGAAAUGUACAGGAAUCCGGUAGAAAUAUCGGCGUCCCGCAAGGGACCUGUAU